GGUCUGCGCUUGGGAAGGCGAGGCUCGAGGCCGGCCGGCGGAGCUCUCAGGGACGCAGGGAGGUCAGGUUGGCAGCAGCCACUCUCUCUGCGGCUGUACCUGGGAAAUGGAAAGCAGAAGGCUGGCUCAAACCCUCCAAGACAGGUUGGCACCACUCCAGGGGUGAAUCCAGGCAAAGACUGGCCACAGACCACCCUAGCCUUACCAGGAAGUUUGCUGUCUUCUUAUCCCCCUGAGAUCUCUGCUCCUCUCCAGAUUUUCUCAACUCUUUCAGAUGCUCCAGCUGCUUCUGAAUUUGUUUCUGGAAAAAAAGAGCACUUGUCAAAGCUUGAACUUGGCUCCUGCCAUCUUGGUGCCAACUCUAGAUGGGAAAACUUGCUUCACGGAAUAAAGCUGAAGUGGUCUGGAACCAAACCCACGACGUGCCUGUACAUUCUGGCCAAGAGGAAGUAAAUGGAGGCAUCACGAGCAGCAUCUAGAAACUUCCGAAAACCUUCCCUAAGUGAUACUAUUCUCCUUUGUCCCUCCAUCCUGCUGCCUGGAAUGAGGAUGCCACCAUCUGAGACCACAACCUUGAGAGCAAACUCCGUAGAGCAGAAAAGCAGCAGGAGCUUGGGUUCCUGACCACGGUGUACCACAUUUGUCCUGGACCACCUGUGUGUCAUUUAUGUGAAAGAGGAACAAACGUCUAUCUUGUUUCAGUUAUGUUAUUUUGGCGUUUCUGUCAUUCACAACCCAUCACCGUCCUAAUUUCUGCCUCUUUAGUAAAAGAGACCUAGGACUUUAGCCAACAGCUCCCUCCCUGCCCAGACAGAGGCGAAUAGCAGAAUCGUAGCCCCAUGACAUACUGCCAUGAGGUAUUGUGAGAAGGUGAUAUUUGUACCCAAUCUUUCUCAGAUGUUCAACCUGGGGUCCAUGAAGCCCUUGGGAAUUCUAAAGAAGGACUUCAGAGUGUCUAAGAACUAACUAACUGAAAUGUAUGCAACAUUUUUAUGAAAAUGUGCAGAUAUGCAUUUUUCAGGAUUCAGAGCCUACAUCAGAUUCUCAAAGGGUGGAGGACCUCAAGGGGGACCCAGAGAUCCAGUGAAAUGAAUACAGUGGGGAUAAAAGCAGGUUUGCAGGGGGAAACCUGCAAAGGUUAUCAUUCCUAAGGAUGCCAGGUCUUCUGGAUUCUGAGGUCCUUUCUUACCUGAAGAUGGAGGGACUUCUGGAUUUGAAGAAUCAUGGAGCAUACCACCUACCACCUCCUCCAAGGCCUUAGAGGUCUUUGGAGCCUCAGUUCCACUCUUCUCUGCAGGUACUGUGGACUCUGGAUGCUCCCAGAUCUUCUUUCCAGCCAACGAUACACUGGAAAGUGUAUUCCUGAGUGCUACCCCCUCCAGAGUCAUGGCGUGUUCUGGAUUCCUGGAUCCUUUCUCUGCAGCCACAGUAGCCCCUGUGUUCAGAGUGGCUGCUGAGCCUGGAUUCUCACAUCUCAUUUUCUCUUGAAGCAGAAGAGUUUCUGGGUUGAGAGGUUCUGUCUCUCCUGAAGAAAUAGUAAAUUCAAGACUUUUGGGUCGCUUCUUUCCUGAAGAUUCAGAGGCUUUUCCAGCUGGGAGGACUCAAUGCCUUGUCAGACACCUGGUCAUCAGCACCCAGCUCUCACUGACUUGGGCUGGACUGCAUAGUGGUGGAUGAGUCUUUGAGGAAGGGUCUGGGAUUGGAUUCCAGAUUCUAGAUCUUUGGGCAGGCAGUCAGAUGCUUCCCUCUCCCCUCCCAGGAUACGGGGGUGGGAGUGGGGGGAACAGAGCCCCUGGUCCCAUGCUGGAGAGAACCAUGAUGAGGGUCAGCCCCUCUGGCCAACUGCUCUUCUCCAGACUCUUGGGAUUUUAUUGACCCUCUGGAGCCAAUGACAGGGGGAUGGGGAGCAGCAAAUACAGCCCUGCAAGCUCUGCCCCUCCCUGCCCAAGAAGGCAGGUGAGGCCAGAAGGGCACCACCAGGAGACAAGCCCUGGGGUCGCCCCUGUUGAUGUAGUUCCAGUUGUCUGGUUCUUCCAGCAACACGAAGGCCUCGAAACGCGACGCCUGGGACCACCAUCCUGAUUUAUUUGUCCCAGCGCUAACUCUGCCGUGGCUUCCUGGGAGCAGACUCCGGAGGGAGGGUGUCAUGCAUGCACGUGUACUGAACACAUGUUCUGGACCAGGAUGCUGGAGAAACAAGGGUGAAAAAGGCAUAGUCGUUCUUAGGGCUUGCAGCCCAGUAUGGGGCCCCAGCGGUGGCUCCAAAGCUAAUGGAGUUUGUAUGGGGGGAGCUGACUGCUUCCUCCGUUAACAGCUGUGUCUUUCUGCUACAUUGAUUUUUAUCCUCAACUUUUUGGUUCAAAAAAUUUCAGGGCUUCCCUGGUGGCGCAGUGGUUGGGAGUCCGCCUGCCGAGGCAGGGGACGUGGGUUCGUGCCCCGGUCCGGGAGGAUCCCACAUGC
Aethalodelphis obliquidens (Pacific white-sided dolphin) is the source of this 2460-nucleotide long non-coding RNA. RefSeq lists it as uncharacterized. The transcript has 4 exons. The record is from RefSeq and is a predicted model, not a curated record. Lineage: Eukaryota; Metazoa; Chordata; Mammalia; Artiodactyla; Delphinidae.